GCGUGGAUGACGAAGGCNUUCGGGUGNUAAAAUCCUUUCCGGGGCGAUGAGGAAGGACACUAGCCUGGGAAUAAGCGUCGGCUAACUACGUGCCAGCAGCCGCGGUAAGACGUAGGACGCGAGCGUUAUCCGGAUUUACUGGGCGUAAAGCGCCUGCAGGCGGUCAGGUAAGUCGGUUGUGAAAGCCCCGUGCUCAACGCGGGGAGGCCAAGCGAUACUGCGUGACUUGAGGGCGGAAGAGGGGAGUGGAAUUCCCGGUGUAGCGGUAAAAUGCGCAGAUAUCGGGAGGAACACCAGUGGCGAAGGCGGCUCCCUGGACCGCACCUGACGCUCAGAGGCGAAAGCUAGGGGAGCGAACAGGAUUAGAGACCCUGGUAGUCCUAGCCCUAAACGCUGGAUGCUAGGUGUAGGGCUGAUGAGGCUCUGUGCCGGAGCGAACGCGAUAAGCAUCCCGCCUGGGAACUACGGCCGCAAGGCUAAAACUCAAACGAAUUGACGGGGACCCGCACAAGCAGCGGAGCGUGUGGUUUAAUUCGAUGCUACACGAAGAACCUUACCUGGGUUCGACAUGUUGGUGGUACCGAACCGAAAGGGGAGGGACCCUUCGGGGAGCCAACACAGGUGCUGCAUGGCUGUCGUCAGCUCGUGCCGUGAGGUGUCGGGUUAAGUCCCGUAACGAGCGCAACCCUUGCUCUUAGUUAUACGUGUCUAAGGGGACUGCCGGCGACAAGCCGGAGGAAGGUGGGGAUGACGUCAAGUCAGCAUGGCCUUGAUAUCCAGGGCUACACACGCUACAAUGGCCGGUACAAAGGGCAGCCAAGCCGCGAGGUGGAGCGAAUCCCAGCAAAGCCGGUCCCAGUUCGGAUUGCAGGCUGCAACCCGCCUGCAUGAAGUUGGAGU
Molecule: ribosomal RNA, 900 nt
Filed under: uncultured organism
Description: bacterial SSU rRNA
Rfam family: Bacterial small subunit ribosomal RNA
Source: RNAcentral